AGACCUUGACAGUUGUAACCGAUAGACUGGGCUGGGGCAAUGCUGAUGAAAGGCAAAUUCCUGAGAGAAAAAUCACCCAGAUUUUUCAGUGCCUUCUCUAGCUUUCUGGAAGUUGUUAUGAGUGGACCUGACUACCUAGAGAGAGUAAUACAGAAGCUCCCUGCCGAUCACAGCUACCUCAUUACCAUGUUCCUCCAAGAUGGCCGCCCCUGAGGAGAAUCAUCAACUGGGCUUUACGGAAGAGAGAAAUCCAAACGACCAUCAGCAACAAAUGAAAGACUGAAGUUGAAAGGAAAUCCAUAAUUUUUGAAUGCUGGCUGAGGUCUGUGACCUCUGACUGAAUGGUUUCCAAGCUCCGAAUUCCUAGGUGAUGUUUUCAUUUGUUCACAGUUGCUGAAGAAGGGAAAGGCUCUCUGAUUUACGUGUAAGCAAAACAAUCUAAACAGUAGGAUAAAAUCAUGUUGGAAUGGAGUUCUGUGUGGAUGCUCCUUUGAACCAAAUCAGUUCCACAACUGACCCUGUCAGGGACAUAUAAAUUUAGCAUUUUGGUGUGGAUACAGAAGACGAGAUUAACACAGAUCAAGUAACAUGGAAAUAAAAAAGGAGACAAUGCUGGAUGAUACAGGGGCAGCAACAAGAGGAGAAAACCCAAGCAUUGGCAAAUGCCUCAUUAUCCAAAGAACACUGAGGUGUGCAGCAAAACUGUGUUGAAUGAACUGUAGAUGGAAAUUCUCUCCUUCCCACCGAGGAGCCGCUGCAGGUUGCAGACUCCCAGAAUGCCACACUGAGAAGAGGAGGGCUAAAAUUCUAGAGCAGAAUCCCUGGGGCAGCCCCUGCUGAAGAAGGGUGCAUCUGUUGAGAAUCUCAUCACCGCCCCCACCCCGCCCAGCCUUCAAUUUAGAGGAAUUUCUAGUUCACGCAGAAUGAAGACAAGAUCACAUAAGUGAGGACGACGCCCCAUUUACAAGUGUGGUUUGGAAGACUGAAGUGGAAACCUUGGGAAGGGGCCUCAGAGUAUGUCAGCUGGGGUCAGACGGGAACAGGAGUCUGGCUCAACACACAUUUAUUGCACUCCUGCUUCAUGCCAAGAAAUGCACCAAAAUCUGGGACUGUGUAACACAGCAAAGGAAAAGACUCAUCUCCAGGAAGCCCCCUUGUCUAGGAAGAGAAAUUGAAUAUCAGCAUAAGGUGGUGAAAAGCUAUGAAGGAGAUGAGU
This 1216-nucleotide long non-coding RNA is filed under the name Pan troglodytes (chimpanzee). RNAcentral's name for it is "lincRNA". Lineage: Eukaryota; Metazoa; Chordata; Mammalia; Primates; Hominidae. The record is from RNAcentral.